CCUACGGGAGGCAGCAGUGAGGAAUAUUGGUCAAUGGGCGCGAGCCUGAACCAGCCAAGUCGCGUGAGGGAUGAAGGUUCUAUGGAUCGUAAACCUCUUUUAUAAGGGAAUAAAGUGUGGGACGUGUCCUAUUUUGUAUGUACCUUAUGAAUAAGGAUCGGCUAACUCCGUGCCAGCAGCCGCGGUAAUACGGAGGAUCCGAGCGUUAUCCGGAUUUAUUGGGUUUAAAGGGUGCGUAGGCGGCCUUUUAAGUCAGCGGUGAAAGUCUGUGGCUCAACCAUAGAAUUGCCGUUGAAACUGGGGGGCUUGGGGAUGUUUGAGGCAGGGGGAAUGCGUGGGGGAGCGGGGAAAUGCUUAGAUAACACGCAGAACCCCGAUUGCGAAGGCAGCCUGCCAAGCCAUGACUGACGCUGAUGCACGAAAGCGUGGGGAUCAAACAGGAAUAGAUACCCGGGUAGUC
Molecule: ribosomal RNA, 460 nt
Filed under: uncultured bacterium
Lineage: Bacteria
Description: partial 16S ribosomal RNA
Rfam family: Bacterial small subunit ribosomal RNA
Source: RNAcentral